This 253-nucleotide unclassified non-coding RNA is filed under the name uncultured Pirellulaceae bacterium. Its description in RNAcentral is "contains 16S-23S intergenic spacer region". It matches the Rfam family "Bacterial small subunit ribosomal RNA", at positions 524 to 776 of the family's 1533-position model. Lineage: Bacteria; Pseudomonadati; Planctomycetota; Planctomycetia; Pirellulales; Pirellulaceae. The record is from RNAcentral.
GACGAGCCACCCAAACGUUAUUCGGAAUUACUGGGCUUAAAGGGUGCGUGGGCGGUGCAGCAAGUCGGGAGUGAAAUACCUCAUCUUAACUGAGGAACUGCUUUCGAUACUGCUGUGCUUGAGUGAGACAGAGGUAAGCGGAACUUAGGGUGGAGCGGUGAAAUGCGUUGAUAUCCUAAGGAACACCGGUGGCGAAGGCGGCUUACUGGGUCUCUACUGACGCUGAGGCACGAAAGCUAGGGGAGCGAAGGGG